This 489-nucleotide ribosomal RNA is filed under the name uncultured bacterium. Its description in RNAcentral is "partial 16S ribosomal RNA". It matches the Rfam family "Bacterial small subunit ribosomal RNA", at positions 30 to 507 of the family's 1533-position model. The record is from RNAcentral.
UGAACGCUGGCUACAGGCUUAACACAUGCAAGUCGAGGGGAAACGACGGGGAAGCUUGCUUCCCCGGGCGUCGACCGGCGCACGGGUGAGUAACGCGUAUCCAACCUGCCUCUGACUGAGGGAUAACCCGUCGAAAGUCGGCCUAAUACCUCAUGGUAUCGUCUGCGGGCAUCCAACGACGAUUAAAGAUUUCAUCGGUCAGGGAUGGGGAUGCGUCUGAUUAGCUUGUUGGCGGGGUAACGGCCCACCAAGGCUACGAUCAGUAGGGGUUCUGAGAGGAAGGUCCCCCACAUUGGAACUGAGACACGGUCCAAACUCCUACGGGAGGCAGCAGUGAGGAAUAUGGGUCAAUGGGCGAGAGCCUGAACCAGCCAAGUAGCGUGCAGGAAGACGGCCCUAUGGGUUGUAAACUGCUUUUAUGCGGGGAUAAAGUGAGGGACGUGUCCCUCAUUGCAGGUACCGCAUGAAUAAGGACCGGCUAAUUCCGUG